Molecule: non-coding RNA, 295 nt
Organism: Cavia porcellus (domestic guinea pig)
Lineage: Eukaryota; Metazoa; Chordata; Mammalia; Rodentia; Caviidae
Rfam family: 7SK RNA
About the family: 7SK was discovered as an abundant small nuclear RNA in the mid-70s but a possible function has only recently been suggested.
Source: Rfam
GGAUGUGAGGACAUCCAGCUGUGACAUCUGUCACCCCGUCCAUCCCAGGGAUGACUGGCCAAUCCGGCUGGCUAGCCAGUGUCCACUCCGGCCCUCACUGCUCACGUGCGUCCCUGCUAAGACUGUGAGCUCAGUGGAAAGGGAUGACCACGACCACCCACGAUGGAGCAGGACCACUUCCUGGGGCCGGGGUGCACGUAUAGCCACACUCUCCUGCCAGAACCUCCAAACCAGCUCUGCAGAGUAUACUUCCGGGAGGAGAGGUCUGCGCACCCCCAGGGGCUGGUCACACCCU